This 94-nucleotide transfer RNA is filed under the name Microlunatus panaciterrae. RNAcentral's name for it is "tRNA-Ala". Lineage: Bacteria; Bacillati; Actinomycetota; Actinomycetes; Propionibacteriales; Propionibacteriaceae. The record is from RNAcentral.
GGAGGCUGCCAUUCUCGACCAAACCGGGCCCGCUCUCGGGGGUGUCUCAUUCGCAACGAGAAGGUCAGGGGUUCGAAUCUCCUUAGCUCCACCA